GAACUUAAGCAUAUCAAUAAGCGGAGGAAAAGAAACCAACAGGGAUUGCCUUAGUAACGGCGAGUGAAGCGGCAACAGCUCAAAUUUGAAAUCUGGCCUCACGGCCCGAGUUGUAAUUUGUAGAGGAUGCUUCGAGCAUGGUCUGGUCUAAGUUCCUUGGAACAGGACGUCAUAGAGGGUGAGAAUCCCGUAUGCGACUAGGUGCCUAAGCUCAUGUGAAGCUCCUUCGACGAGUCGAGUUGUUUGGGAAUGCAGCUCAAAAUGGGUGGUAAAUUUCAUCUAAAGCUAAAUACUGGCCAGAGACCGAUAGCGCACAAGUAGAGUGAUCGAAAGAUGAAAAGCACUUUGGAAAGAGAGUUAAACAGUACGUGAAAUUGUUGAAAGGGAAGCGCUUGCAACCAGACUUGCAUGCAGUCGAUCAUCCAGUGUUCUCACCGGUGCACUCGAUUGCAUUCAGGCCAGCAUCGGUUUUGGUGGUUGGAUAAAGGCCUAGGGAAUGUAGCUCCUCUUGGGGAGUGUUAUAGCCCUAGGUGCAAUGCGACCUACUGGGACCGAGGACCGCGCUUUGGCUAGGAUGCUGGCGUAAUGGUUGUAAGCGACCCGUCUUGAAACACGGACCAAGGAGUCUAACAUCUAUGCGAGUGUUUGGGUGUAAAACCCAUGCGCGUAAUGAAAGUGAACGGAGGUGAGAACCCUUUAGGGUGCAUCAUCGACCGAUCCUGAUGUCUUCGGAUGGAUUUGAGUAAGAGCAUAGCUGUUGGGACCCGAAA
RNAcentral lists this ribosomal RNA (770 nucleotides) under uncultured fungus. RNAcentral describes it as "eukaryotic LSU rRNA". It matches the Rfam family "Eukaryotic large subunit ribosomal RNA", at positions 30 to 821 of the family's 3401-position model. Lineage: Eukaryota; Fungi. The record is from RNAcentral.